RNAcentral lists this ribosomal RNA (492 nucleotides) under uncultured bacterium. Its description in RNAcentral is "partial 16S ribosomal RNA". It matches the Rfam family "Bacterial small subunit ribosomal RNA", at positions 29 to 507 of the family's 1533-position model. The record is from RNAcentral.
AGUGAACGCUGGCGGUAGGCCUAACACAUGCAAGUCGAACGGCAGCACAGUAAGAGCUUGCUCUUACGGGUGGCGAGUGGCGGACGGGUGAGGAAUACAUCGGAAUCUACUUUUUCGUGGGGGAUAACGUAGGGAAACUUACGCUAAUACCGCAUACGACCUACGGGUGAAAGCAGGGGAUCUUCGGACCUUGUGCGAUUGAAUGAGCCGAUGUCGGAUUAGCUAGUUGGCGGGGUAAAGGCCCACCAAGGCGACGAUCCGUAGCUGGUCUGAGAGGAUGAUCAGCCACACUGGAACUGAGACACGGUCCAGACUCCUACGGGAGGCAGCAGUGGGGAAUAUUGGACAAGGGGCGCAAGCCUGAUCCAGCCAUACCGCGUGGGUGAAGAAGGCCUUCGGGUUGUAAAGCCCUUUUGUUGGGAAAGAAAAGCAGCAGGUUAAUACCCCGCUGUUCUGACGGUACCCAAAGAAUAAGCACCGGCUAACUUCGUG